Long non-coding RNA from Empidonax traillii (willow flycatcher), 448 nucleotides. RefSeq lists it as uncharacterized. The record is from RefSeq and is a predicted model, not a curated record. NCBI's taxonomy places the organism in Eukaryota, Metazoa, Chordata, Aves, Passeriformes, Tyrannidae. The transcript is spliced from 3 exons.
CACUUGUGUUAGAGCAGAAAUAUAUCAGUGUUAGGGCAGAUGAUAAACAAGUUGUUAGCUGUAGUCUAAUGUCAUUUUCAGGCCUGGACUUCUGCAUAGCACAGUGGUAUUUCUUAUAUGACAGAAUUAUUCUGAAAUGUCUUAAUGGAGUCCAGAAAUAAACACCUGUGGAUUUCUGUAUGUGUUUUUAGACUUGAUAGCUCUUAAAUAUCUAACAAUGUCCACUUAUAAUCACGGAACUGAAACUAUACAUAAAUAUUAAGACAUACUUGGUUUAUACAACUGUUAAGAGUCAGGAGGAUGUGGUAGGAGGUGUGAUUGUUGCUGCAGGUGAUGGUGAGGAAAUAAAUAGUUGUAAAAAUUUAGAUCUGAAAGAAUUCACAUGUUAACAAGAAAUCCAGGUUUAGUAGGGAGAGUAUAGAAACUCUUGAUGUGUUCAGGAAAAAAA